RNAcentral lists this ribosomal RNA (496 nucleotides) under uncultured bacterium. Its description in RNAcentral is "partial 16S ribosomal RNA". It matches the Rfam family "Bacterial small subunit ribosomal RNA", at positions 28 to 506 of the family's 1533-position model. The record is from RNAcentral.
GAUGAACGCUGGCGGCGUGCCUAAUACAUGCAAGUCGAGCGAACGGACGAGAAGCUUGCUUCUCUGAUGUUAGCGGCGGACGGGUGAGUAACACGUGGAUAACCUACCUAUAAGACUGGGAUAACUUCGGGAAACCGGAGCUAAUACCGGAUAAUAUUUUGAACCGCAUGGUUCAAAAGUGAAAGACGGUCUUGCUGUCACUUAUAGAUGGAUCCGCGCUGCAUUAGCUAGUUGGUAAGGUAACGGCUUACCAAGGCAACGAUGCAUAGCCGACCUGAGAGGGUGAUCGGCCACACUGGAACUGAGACACGGUCCAGACUCCUACGGGAGGCAGCAGUAGGGAAUCUUCCGCACUGGGCGAAAGCCUGACGGAGCAACGCCGCGUGAGUGAUGAAGGUCUUCGGAUCGUAAAACUCUGUUAUUAGGGAAGAACAUAUGUGUAAGUAACUGUGCACAUCUUGACGGUACCUAAGCAGAAAGCCACGGCUAACUACGU